AUUAAACGCUGGCGGCAUGCCUUACACAUGCAAGUCGAACGGCAGCACGGGGGCAACCCUGGUGGCGAGUGGCGGACGGGUGAGUAACACAUCGGAACGUGCCCUGGAGUGGGGGAUAACGCAGCGAAAGCUACGCUAAUACCGCAUAUUCUGUGAGCAGGAAAGCAGGGGAUCGCAAGACCUUGCGCUGAUUGAGCGGCCGAUAUCAGAUUAGCUAGUUGGUGAGGUAAAGGCUCACCAAGGCGACGAUCUGUAGCGGGUCUGAGAGGAUGAUCCGCCACACUGGAACUGAGACACGGUCCAGACUCCUACGGGAGGCAGCAGUGGGGAAUUUUGGACAAUGGGCGCAAGCCUGAUCCAGCCAUGCCGCGUGAGUGAAGAAGGCCUCGGUUGUAAG
Molecule: ribosomal RNA, 397 nt
Filed under: uncultured bacterium
Lineage: Bacteria
Description: bacterial SSU rRNA
Rfam family: Bacterial small subunit ribosomal RNA
Source: RNAcentral